CCUACGGGAGGCAGCAGUGAGGAAUAUUGGUCAAUGGCCGGAAGGCUGAACCAGCCAUGCCGCGUGAAGGUCAGUGCCCUAUGGGCGUUAAACUUCUUUUGUGCGGGAGCAAUAAUGGUCACGUGUGGCCAGACGAGAGUACCGUACGAAUAAGCAUCGGCUAACUCCGUGCCAGCAGCCGCGGUAAUACGGGGGAUGCAAGCGUUAUCCGGAUUUAUUGGGUUUAAAGGGUGCGUAGGCUGUGAGGUAAGUCAGCGGUGAAAUGCCCCCGCUCAACGGGGUGAAGUGCCAUUGAUACUGGCUGGCUGGAAUGCGGAUGACGUGGGAGGAAUGUGUGGUGUAGCGGUGAAAUGCAUAGAUAUCACACAGAACCCCGAUUGCGAAGGCAUCUCACGAAUCCGCGAUUGACGCUGAUGCACGAAAGCGUGGGUAUCAAACAGGAUUAGAUACCCGAGUAGUC
Molecule: ribosomal RNA, 460 nt
Filed under: uncultured bacterium
Lineage: Bacteria
Description: partial 16S ribosomal RNA
Rfam family: Bacterial small subunit ribosomal RNA
Source: RNAcentral